GGAGUGAACGCUGGCGGCAGGCCUAAUACAUGCAAGUCGAACGGCAGCACGGCAGAGCUUGCUCUGUGGGUGGCGAGUGGCGGACGGGUGAGGAAUACAUGGGAAUCUGCCCAGUCGUGGGGGAUAACGUAGGGAAACUUACGCUAAUACCGCAUGCGCCCGUUCGGGGGAAAGCCGGGGACCUUCGGGCCUGGCGCGAUUGGAUGAGCCCAUGUCGGAUUAGCUAGUUGGCGGGUAACGCCCACCGAAGGCGACGAUCCGUAGCUGGUCUGAGAGGAUGAUCAGCCACACUGGAACU
Molecule: ribosomal RNA, 298 nt
Filed under: uncultured soil bacterium
Lineage: Bacteria
Description: partial 16S ribosomal RNA
Rfam family: Bacterial small subunit ribosomal RNA
Source: RNAcentral